RNAcentral lists this ribosomal RNA (402 nucleotides) under uncultured bacterium. RNAcentral describes it as "bacterial SSU rRNA". It matches the Rfam family "Bacterial small subunit ribosomal RNA", at positions 355 to 774 of the family's 1533-position model. The record is from RNAcentral.
UGAGGAAUAUUGCCCAAUGGGGGAAACCCUGAGGCAGCAACGCCGCGUGAACGAAGACGGCCUUCGGGUUGUAAAGUUCUUUUCUGGGGGACGAUGAUGACGGUACCCCAGGAAUAAGUUCCGGCUAACUACGUGCCAGCAGCCGCGGUAAAACGUAGGGGACAAGCGUUAUCCGGAUUUACUGGGCGUAAAGCGCACGUAGGCGGUGAGGUAAGUUGGCCGUGAAAGCUCCCGGCUUAACUGGGAGAGGUCGGACAAAACUGCCCCACUUGAGGCUGAGAGAGGAGAGCGGAAUUCCCGGUGUAGUGGUGGAAUGCGUAGAUAUCGGGAGGAACACAAGUGGCGAAGGCGGCUCUCUGGCUCAGAACUGACGCUGAGGUGCGAAAGCGUGGGGAGCGAACG